GAUGAACGCUGGCGGCGUGCCUAAUACAUGCAAGUCGAGCGAACAGACGAGGAGCUUUCCCUUCUGACGUUAGCGGCCGAAGGGUGAGUAAAACGUGGAUAACCUACCUAUAAGACUGGGAUAACUUCGGGAAACCGGAGCUAAAACCGAGUAAUAUAUUGUACAACAUGGUAAAAUCGUGAAAGACGGUUUUGCUAGUACUUAUAGAUGGAUCUGCGCCUCAUUAGCUAGUUGGUAAGGUAACGGUUUACCAAGGCAACGAUGGGUAGCCGACCUGAGAGGGUGAUAGGCCACACUGGAACGGAGACACGGUCCAGACUCCUACGGGAGGCAGCAGUAGGAAAUCUUCCGCAAAGGGCGAAAUCUUGACGGAGCAACGCCGCGUGAGUGAUGAAGGUCUUCGGAUCGUGAAACUCUGUUAUUAGGGAAGAAGAAAUGUGUAAGUAACUAGGAACAUCUUGACGGUACCUAAUCAGAAAGCCACGGCUAACUACGUG
Molecule: ribosomal RNA, 497 nt
Filed under: uncultured bacterium
Lineage: Bacteria
Description: partial 16S ribosomal RNA
Rfam family: Bacterial small subunit ribosomal RNA
Source: RNAcentral